GUUUUUUUAAUGGUUAAUCGCACAGCUAUUUAUAAAUUUCAAAUUUUCAAUCCCAAGAAACUCAAGUUUUCGCUAGUACUUUGUCUAUGAGGCUAUGACAAUUGCAAGUUCUGCAUGCGUUUAUACAUGGUGCCUUUCGAGCUUCAAAUUGUAAAACAUAACACAUUGGUCAUGAGUAACGGACGACUGAUAUUUCCCUUAAAGACCCC
This 209-nucleotide long non-coding RNA is filed under the name Mytilus galloprovincialis (Mediterranean mussel). The record is from RNAcentral. Lineage: Eukaryota; Metazoa; Mollusca; Bivalvia; Mytilida; Mytilidae.